AUUCUCAUGUCUGAGAUUGCUUUAUAAUUUAUCAUACUAGCAUUAUUCCAGUAUUGAUGUAAGGAGUUUUGCUAGCCUUCUAGAAUGAGUUGGAGAGUUGUUUGUAUUUUUCUAUGAACGUUUAUAUAGUGUAGGAGUUAUUUGCUUCCUGAAAUUAUAAUAGAAUUUUUAAAAGUUUUAUUUGGUGCUUUCUAAAAUUUUAAGUAAAAAAGUGUUUCAGACAUGCAGGAAAUAAUACAGCAGACAUUGAUUAUCUCAUUAAUAGAUAUUCAUGAUCUCAUUUCCCAAAUUUAAAAGAUACCAACGUUGCUGUGUUUCAGUUAGCAUUAAGUUCUCCCCCUCAACACACACACGCGUGCGUGCACAUGCGCGCGCACACACACAGAUGCACACCUACCCACUUCCUGUGAGUAAGGAAUAAGAUCUCAGAAACGUUUAGCAAGCUGUGUUUCUUGGGUUUGAAGAAUGUUGUAUAAUUGUGUGUGUCACAGGCACUGUGGAGUGAUUGAUUUGUCUCUGUCCCUUGGUGGAGAAGAUAAGCUCACUUUUAACAUAGAAAAAAGCUGUGCACAAGCUGCAUUCCCUUUUUUGUCUUAUCCUAAUAAUGUGUAUCAUUCUCAUGCAUGUGUUCAUCUUCAUUUUACUUAUGUGUAUUUAAAAUACAUAGGACUAUUUCGUGUUUUUAAAAUUUUUUGGAAAAAAGACAUCAUAGUUAUCAUUUUGAAACCUAUUUUUCACCCAACACCGUGUCUUUGAAAUAUAGCCAUAUUGACAUUUGUUGAUCUCCAUUUCUUCACAAUAUAACAUCUUUUAAAAUUGGGAUGCUUCCUAAAUCAGUGGUGUCUUAAAAUUGGCAGCAUUUUCUUAAUGACAGAAUAAUGCUGUACCUUAUAAUCGAUGUUAUCUUAGAUUUGAUUACAUCCAGUAGUUAAUUCCUCUUAAUUGCUGUAAAGCAUUCUGUUGUUUGAAUAUACAACAGUUAAUCCAUUUCUCUAUCAUAGUUAAUCAUUUUUCUUAUUGGUAGAUAAUCAGGUUGUUUGCACUUUCACUUUUAUAAGCAGUUCAAAAGUGAGCGUUCUUCCUGUCUCAUAAACAAUUAUUCUGAAUGAAAAUGUUGAAUUUAGUAAAUAUGGAUAUUCUGCUUUCUAGGUAUUGCCAAAUUGCAUUCCUAAGUAGUUAUAUUACUUUAUACUUCCGCCAGCAAUGUAUAAGAGCUCCUGUUUGCUUUUCAUUUUUAGAUUUGUAUCAGUUUGAAACUGUAUUUAUGUUGUGAGCUAAGGAUCUUAUUUUCUCUUUUUCAAAUGGAUAGCCAUUCGCCUCAGUAUCAUUAGUUAUUGAAUAGUUUAUUCUCUACUUGACUUACAGUGCUCUAUCCGCCAUAUACUAAAUGCAGGCAGUUACAGAUUAAGAUCUGUUUCUAGGCUUCCUUUUCUAUUGCAUUAGCUUAUGUGUGUAGUAUAUUUACUGUAGUUUUAUAGUAAGGCAUCUCCUUAUUAAUACUCUUCAAAAUUGUCCUGGCUAUUGUCUUUUUAUAACUACAAGAAUUUUUAAAUCAUGUUGCCUGAUUCUGGGGAAAAAUCUUUAGGAUUUUUAUUAGAACUACUUUGAAUUUAAAAAUAUAUAUUUGGAGAAAAUGGCCAUCUUCAUGAUGUUGAAUCUUCCCAUUUAUGAAUAUGGCUGGUUAGUUGGUCAGUCUCUUUGUAUCGAUCUUGCUUCUUUUUCUAUCAAUAAAGUUUUACAAUUUUCUUCAUAACAGUCUUGCACAUUGUAACUUUCUUUAAAAGUACCUUUCUAAUUGUUUGUUGUUGGUGGAUAAGAAUACUAGUUUAGUCUCCAUUUCAUCUCCUUUGGUGCUUAGUAGAUUUUUUUAGGAGCUGAAACUUUUAUUGUCUUUUUAGCUGCUUUUAUGGUUGGUUAAGCCAGAUUGUUCCUUCUACCUGGCUCAAUUUUGGUAAUCUUUUCCUUGGAAAUCAUGCAUUUCUAGGUUUGAAAAUUUGUUAGGAAAAGUUUUAACAUAGGCUGUUUUAUUUUGUAAAUCUCUGCAGCAUCUCUCUAUGUUUUGUUUUCUUGAGUCUAAGUUUUUUGUCAACAUUUUUUCCUUUGUCAUUGGAAUCAUUAAAAAUUUCCAAGAAGCAGCUUUUGGUUUUAUUUAUUGAGUAUUUAUUUCUAUAAUUUUUGCAGUGAUCUUCAUUUCUUUUUUCAACUUCACUUGCACUUAGUAGUUCUUUUAGUCUCUUGGGUUGAAUGUUUAGUUCACGUAUAUCUUGGUCUUUUCUUGUUUUCUAAUAUAUGCAUUCCUCUUCUAAGUACUUCUUGAUUAUAUCACAUAGGUCUUGUUUGGUGGUGUUCCACUUUUUGCUCAUUUCCAAAUAGUUCGUCAUUUUAGUUUUGAUUAUUAAGCCUAGUGUGUUUUUUUUCCUCCCAAAAGAGGAAAAAAAUGUGGGGAUAGGCUUGAAGGGAGGGGCAUAUUUUUUAUUUUAUUAUCCUUUUGUUAUUCUUACGUAGCUAAAUUUAUGGGCCAAGAAUGUCACUUGUAUAAUUUCGGUUGUCUGUAUUACUGAGAGAUUUUUCUGUGUUUUUAUGUAUGCUGAAAAGAAGGUUUAUUCACAGUUUGUGUGUAUCUGUAUUUUAGAUUGAGCUUGUUUAUUUAGGUUAUUUAAAUUUUUAUAUCUUGUUUUUAUUGUCUGUCAAACUUUCUGGUUUAGGGUAGAUGGUUUUGUUAAUGUCUCCCAUAAAGAUUAUGAAUAUUUCUCCUUGUAUUUGUAUCAGUUUUUACUUUAUGUAUUUCAAAGUUUUGAUGUGAGGAGUCCUAUGACUGAUACGUAUUCUUGAUGCAUUGUAUCAUGUCAGCAGUAUUAAAUACCUGUUUUUUUCUCUUUAAUGCUUUUUGAUUGAAUUCUAUGGUCUUAAUCUUGCUAUGCUUUUUAUUAGUAUAUGAUACUCCUUUUUAUCAACUUCCCUGUGUCAUUUUGUGUUCCAUCUGAUUCAAAAACAGCAUUUAGCUAUUUUUAUUACUUAUUUUUCCUCCAUUUUCUCUAUUCUUCUUCAGGAAGUCUUAGAGUUUUUGAGAUUUUAGAGCCAGCUGUCUUCCACAUCUCAGCUUUACCCUGGCAACACUUUUCUCCACCAUGUGCUUUGGGCUAUAAUUCUUUCUCAAGAUAUACUUUUUUCCCCAGAAUUUGUCAAGAUUUGUACAUUUCUUGUUCUCAUCAUUGCGGAUUUAUCUAGUAUGUUUCUGUGUUUUUAUAUUAUCUCCCAUCAUUUUAUGAGGGAGGGUAGUUGCCAGUAAUCAUUGUUCUGUCUUGAUCCUGUGGUGUCCCUCCCUGAUUCCAGCACUUAGGUUUUAUUCUUAACCUGUUUUGUUUGGGGCACAAGAGUUUCAUAAACCUAUAUUCAAUCCAUCAUCUUUGAGCCUUCCUGAGCUGUUUCUUAAAAGGCUGUUAUCUUACAGCGUGUCAUUAUUUUACUACUGUUGAUCUCAUAAGUUGGAGUCACUUCAGUUCCUCAGGGCUUCUGCUAGCCACCCCAGAUGGAGAGCAGCUCAUUUUUUGGACCUAUUAUUGGAGAGUGUCAGUGACUAUAUCCCGUCCUUUUUUGUAGGUCCUAUUCAUGACUUCUGUAUAUCCCUUCCUUUUUACUGGCCCCUGUGACACUAUUCUAAUAGGGUUUUCUUCCUACCUUUCUCUAUCCCCCUUAUUUUCACCGGUGGUUUUUCUUCACUCAUUACUUAAUUGGCAUUGCAACUUAAUGUAAGAGUCAUUGGCUUUUUGUCCUCUUUUUAAAGGUAAAAAAUAAUUGUACUGACUUUUAUACAAUAGUAAUUGUACUUUUAUUAUCCCUUGAGAAAAUAUGUAUGUAUGUAGAUAACAGACAUAUUACUUUGGUAGAGCCAUAUCAUUAAUAUACACUGAUUUUAAAAACACUUGCUUUGAAAGAUCUCACUUUACUAUCUUCUUUAAUCAUCACAACAACAUAUAGUAUGAUUGGAUAAGUAUGAGGCAGAUAAAAUGAAGUAAAUCUUGCAAGGAAGCAAUAAUAUUUUAUAAAUUUACCUGUUCUGAAGGGUACUUUUUUUUUUGAAAUGGACUCUUGCUGUAUCGCUGCUGGAGUGCAGUGGCAUGAUCUCUGCUCACUGCAGCCUCCAUCUUUCGUGUUCAAGCGAUUCUUGUGCCUCAGCCUCCCGAAUAGCUGGGACUACAGGCGUGUACCACCAUGCCUGGCUAAUUUUUGUAUAUUUAGUAGAGAUGGGGUUUCACUAUGUUGGCCAGCUGGUCUCGAACUCCUGACCAGCUGUCAGUUGUCAGGAGCUGAUGAGGUGUCAAGUGAUCUGCACACCUCGGCCUCCCAAAGUGCUGGGAUUACAGGCGUGAGCCCCUGUGCCCGGCCUCAAGGGUGCUUCUGACCAUACCUAAACUUAGGCAGUAACUUUAGAUUUGCCAUGCUCUAUAAGUUUUUACUCCUCCCCAUGUACAUUUGAAUGAUAUUACAUUUAUGGGGAAAAUAUUCGCCACUUUAUUUUGGUGUAGAUGUGUUUAUUACUUGUGUUAACUCCAGAUGUAAAGCCAAGUGUAAAAUAGCUGAUGGAGCCUUCAUUCUACUGGCUCUGUAAAUGUAAUAGAUGUGUGAUCACAGGCAAGUCGUUUAUCUGUCUGCAGUAUGGUUUCCUCAUCUAUCAAAUAGGCAAAAAAUAGCUCUUAAAAACGAGUGUCAUCAACCAAAUAAAAUAUGGUGUGUGUGAAAAAUCUUUGUAAAGGAUAAAGAACCCAUGACAGGCUUCACUGUCAGCCAUGCCUACCUCAUAUAACAACAGUUAAAGUUGUUAGCCUUUAGUUAUCAAAGCAUAUGUCAUGAAUUCAGUUCAUGGGGAUCCUUGCCCACUUGUCGAUAAGAGGGUAAUAGUUGGUAUGUAAAGAAAACAUUAACUGCAGAGAUAUGAUACAGAUAUGUAGCUAUAGAUAUAUCUCACUGAGAUUUAUAUGAGUCAGAGGUGGAGAAUAUCCAAGCCAUGUUACCAUCUUCCAGUAUCCACUUCUUAUGGGCUCUCAAAUAUCGGACCUUUGCCCAUUGCCUAAACUGCAGUUCAUCUUGCCAACUGGUUUUGUUUUGAUUCCUAUUUAUUAUGUCUUAGGCUGUAAUCUCAUCCAGACCUGAUUCUGAGACCAAGCUCUGUGUCUUCUUGCCUUACUUGCUGCUUUUGACCUCUUAAACUAGAGCUUAUCAUUUUAAAUGGCCCAACUUGAUUACACUGUAGAUAAGACUAAAUACUGUGACUCUGAGAAAACAUAAAGUUUAUUUGUGCGACAAAUUA
Molecule: long non-coding RNA, 5308 nt
Filed under: Pan troglodytes (chimpanzee)
Lineage: Eukaryota; Metazoa; Chordata; Mammalia; Primates; Hominidae
Description: lincRNA
Source: RNAcentral